This 506-nucleotide ribosomal RNA is filed under the name uncultured bacterium. Its description in RNAcentral is "partial 16S ribosomal RNA". It matches the Rfam family "Bacterial small subunit ribosomal RNA", at positions 29 to 523 of the family's 1533-position model. The record is from RNAcentral.
AGUGAACGCUGGCGGUAGGCCUAACACAUGCAAGUCGAACGGCAGCACAGAGGAGCUUGCUCCUUGGGUGACGAGUGGCGGACGGGUGAGGAAUACAUCGGAAUCUACUCUGUCGUGGGGGAUAACGUAGGGAAACUUACGCUAAUACCGCAUAAGACCUACGGGUGAAAGCAGGGGACCUUCGGGCCUUGCGCGAUUGAAUGAGCCGAUGUCGGAUUAGCUAGUUGGCGGGGUAAAGGCCCACCAAGGCGACGAUCCGUAGCUGGUCUGAGAGGAUGAUCAGCCACACUGGAACUGAGACACGGUCCAGACUCCUACGGGAGGCAGCAGUGGGGAAUAUUGGACAAUGGGCGCAAGCCUGAUCCAGCCAUACCGCGUGGGUGAAGAAGGCCUUCGGGUUGUAAAGCCCUUUUGUUGGGAAAGAAAUCCAGCUGGCUAAUACCCGGUUGGGAUGACGGUACCCAAAGAAUAAGCACCGGCUAACUUCGUGCCAGCAGCCGCCGUAA